RNAcentral lists this long non-coding RNA (257 nucleotides) under Linum usitatissimum (flax). RNAcentral's name for it is "long non-coding RNA (LUSI_LNC000612)". Lineage: Eukaryota; Viridiplantae; Streptophyta; Magnoliopsida; Malpighiales; Linaceae. The record is from RNAcentral.
GGUUUCGCGAUACAGAGAGUAGUAGGUAGAGAGAGAGAGGGAAAGGAAAUAUUAUUGGUCGCCAACAAUUUACUUUAAGGUCCCCCCCAACAGGAAAAAACUCAGAAGGAAGAUCAAUGGCGAAGAAGGAAGAACGGGUUUGAGGAGCUGUGAGUUUCUCUAUCAGCCAUGGUGGAUCCAGCAAAGGCAUUUGCUCUUAUAGUGUUGAAUCUGGUUGUGGUGUGGUUUCAGCCGACAUUUCAGCAGCAGAGGCUCAC